RNAcentral lists this ribosomal RNA (841 nucleotides) under uncultured Pseudomonadota bacterium. RNAcentral describes it as "bacterial SSU rRNA". It matches the Rfam family "Bacterial small subunit ribosomal RNA", at positions 56 to 873 of the family's 1533-position model. Lineage: Bacteria; Pseudomonadati; Pseudomonadota. The record is from RNAcentral.
UGCAAGUCGAACGCGAAAGAAGCCUUCGGGUUUCAAGUAGAGUGGCGUCCGGGUGAGUAACACGUAGGUAAUCUACCUUCGGGUGGGGAAUAACGCAGGGAAACUUGCGCUAAUACCGCAUAAUGCAGCGGCACCACAUGGUGACAGUUGUUAAAGCGGGGGCUUUUCGGACCUCGCGCCUGAAGAGGAGCCUGCGGCAGAUUAGCUAGUUGGUAGGGUAACGGCUUACCAAGGCGACGAUCUGUAACCGGCCUGAGAGGGCGGUCGGUCACACUGACACUGACAUACGGGUCAGACUCCUACGGGAGGCAGCAGUCGGGAAUUUUGGGCAAUGGGCGAAAGCCUGACCCAGCAACGCCGCGUGAAGGAUGAAAUCCUUCGGGAUGUAAACUUCGCAAGAAUGGGAAGAAUGAGCGAGUACUAAUACUGCUCGUGAUGACGGUACCAUUUGUAAGCUCCGGCUAACUCCGUGCCAGCAGCCGCGGUAAUACGGGGGGAGCAAGCGUUGUUCGGAUUUACUGGGCGUAAAGGGCGCGUAGGCGGCCAGCGCAAGUCAGUUGUGAAAUCUCCGGGCUUAACUCGGAAAGGUCAACUGAUACUGCGCGGCUAGAGUGCAGAAGGGGCAACUGGAAUUCUCGGUGUAGCGGUGAAAUGCGUAGAUAUCGAGAGGAACACCUGCGGCGAAGGCGGGUUGCUGGGCUGACACUGACGCUGAUGCGCGAAAGCCAGGGGAGCGAACGGGAUUAGAUACCCCGGUAGUCCUGGCCUUAAACGAUGGAUGCUUGGUGUCUGGAGUUUUAUAGUCUCCGGGUGCCGUAGCUAACGCGUUAAGCAUCCCGCC